RNAcentral lists this signal recognition particle RNA (98 nucleotides) under Puniceicoccales bacterium. Its description in RNAcentral is "signal recognition particle sRNA small type". It matches the Rfam family "Bacterial small signal recognition particle RNA". From Rfam's summary of the family: The signal recognition particle (SRP) is a universally conserved ribonucleoprotein involved in the co-translational targeting of proteins to membranes. Lineage: Bacteria; Pseudomonadati; Verrucomicrobiota; Opitutia; Puniceicoccales. The record is from RNAcentral.
GGUCGGGCCUCUUGCAAGAAGGACCAGCGAACCCCGCCAGGCCUGGAAAGGAGCAACGGUAGUUAGGACACCUUCAUGUGCGUGAGUGCCUGAUCGCU